This 1544-nucleotide long non-coding RNA is filed under the name Betta splendens (Siamese fighting fish). RNAcentral describes it as "lncRNA (ENSBSLG00000004955.1)". Lineage: Eukaryota; Metazoa; Chordata; Actinopteri; Anabantiformes; Osphronemidae. The record is from RNAcentral.
UUUGACUUCCUGAGAAAUCAGAUUCCAAUCAAGUGAAGUUGGACUUUGUGGGAAAUGGCUCUGAGCUGCCAAUUCCAGGUCUUAGUGGCCUCAGUCUGGCCGUUCAAGGACAGUCAGAGACUUACUUUGGCUUUGGUGCUGACGGGUGAACAGUCAUCCUGGGCUCAGGUUGCAUUAUGUUUUUUUUUAAAGAACUUUGGCAUCAGUUGUUAAAUAUGUGCUAAGUCACUGGUUAAUGUGUGUAUGUGUGGCCUCCACUGUAACAUGCAACCAUAAGCAUACAGCUUUGUACAUUUGAAGAUGGAAUAAAAAUCAAAAGUUGAGUUUUGAAACAACAUACAGUAUGAAAAAGUUAACAAAUGGGAACUAGAAAAGUACUUUGCUGCAUUAGUAAAAUGCAGAAUCCUGUUGAAAUUGCAGCUCAUGGCUGAUGAAUGUGGCUGGUGGUAUGUUCAAGUGCUGAUGGAAUUCACCGUAAACCAGACCACACAGUGCUAGACGCUGAAGUGUAAACCUCACCAGACCUUUUUAUGUAGUCUUUGUGUAUUAGUGGUGAGUCAGCAUUCAUUUUAUUACAACAUCCUGUGGUCAUUGAACGCCCCACUGAACAGCUGAUGAUGAUGAUGCAUUUUUUCACAUCAAAGGGAUCCAGUGUGGACCAUUUCUCCAGACUGGAGACUGGAAUGGUGAAUAUAUUAUUCUUAACUCAGUGCCCCACUGUUACAACUUUUCCUUCCCUACCGGCUGCUGAUUACCUGUAUCUGGUAUUUUUCCCUCAGUCAAACUGGAAGACGUGGGAGUAGGAGCGAGGGGAAGAUGAGUUGGUGUCUUCCAGCUUCUGAAUAACUGAGCACAUCUGGUUCAGCUGUGAAUAGGGCAGUGAUCCUUGAGCAUUAAUCUAGAGUCAGAUGGCUGCAGUUUACCGAAUGAUCUGAUGGGGGCAGUAGAGGACUAUGUAAAAGCCACGGGCAAGAAACGUGUGUUGCAACACUUCUGUUACAGGAAGGAGUUAAUUAGAAGCAGUAAAUAAGUGGGCAUUGACAUCAUACGCUCCUUAUUUGAGUUUUGCUGUUACACUUUUAUCAGAGUGUCUUGUCUUCUAAUAUUUCAUCGGGUACAAGGCUGCACUAACUGGACGCUACAGCUGUAGCAGAACACACACACACACACACACACACACACACACACACACACACACACACACACACACACACACACACACACACACACACACACACACACACACACACACACACACACACACACACACACACAUCUGAGUGGGAAGCAUGUUUUGACAUAAAGUUCCACAGUGUUCACUGGAGCAACCAGAUCCCAUAUGGUCAAGGACGAUAUAGAUGGUAAGUAAAGUUUUGAAAUUUAAAUAAGUUUGUCAACCUUCGUCUGUUCAGAAAAUGUGGGAGUUGCUUAAAGGAUUGGCAGAUAGUUGUGGAAAAGCUUCAAGAAUUAUCUUUAAAAGUUCUACCACUGUAUUUUAGGCUAAACAGUGUCCGUCCUUCCUCUCACACCCACCACCGGGAUCU